GCGGGAAUAGCUCAGUUGGUAGAGCACGACCUUGCCAAGGUCGGGGUCGGGAGUUCGAGCCUCCUUUCCCGCUCCA
RNAcentral lists this transfer RNA (76 nucleotides) under Pseudomonadales bacterium. RNAcentral's name for it is "tRNA-Gly". It matches the Rfam family "tRNA". Rfam says of the family: Transfer RNA (tRNA) molecules are approximately 80 nucleotides in length. Their secondary structure includes four short double-helical elements and three loops (D, anti-codon, and T loops). Further hydrogen bonds mediate the characteristic L-shaped molecular structure. tRNAs have two regions of fundamental functional importance: the anti-codon, which is responsible for specific mRNA codon recognition, and the 3' end, to which the tRNAs corresponding amino acid is attached (by aminoacyl-tRNA synthetases). tRNAs cope with the degeneracy of the genetic code in two manners: having more than one tRNA (with a specific anti-codon) for a particular amino acid; and 'wobble' base-pairing, i.e. permitting non-standard base-pairing at the 3rd anti-codon position. Lineage: Bacteria; Pseudomonadati; Pseudomonadota; Gammaproteobacteria; Pseudomonadales. The record is from RNAcentral. RNAcentral also lists the same sequence under 3 other names.